CAGUCGCCACGGUAAUACGUAGGGCGCAAGCGUUGUCCGGAAUUAUUGGGCGUAAAGAGCUCGUAGGCGGUCUGUCGCGUCUGGUGUGAAAUCCCGAGGCUCAACCUCGGGCUUGCAUCGGGUACGGGCAGACUAGAGUGCGGUAGGGGAGACUGGAAUUCCUGGUGUAGCGGUGGAAUGCGCAGAUAUCAGGAGGAACACCGAUGGCGAAGGCAGGUCUCUGGGCCGCAACUGACGCUGAGGAGCGAAAGCAUGGGGAGCGAACAGGAUUAGAUACCCCAGUAGUCCCUGUCUCUUAUAC
RNAcentral lists this ribosomal RNA (301 nucleotides) under uncultured bacterium. Its description in RNAcentral is "partial 16S ribosomal RNA". It matches the Rfam family "Bacterial small subunit ribosomal RNA", at positions 509 to 807 of the family's 1533-position model. The record is from RNAcentral.